UGGCCGCCCCACAUCUAUAGUCGGAGUUAUUGACUGUUAUAAGUCGCCAUGUCGCCGCUGGGAAAUGAACCCAGACCUUGUGCAAGAGAGCACUGCUAAGCCAUCUUUCCAGCCCUUGACCUUCUUUUUUCCUUCGAGACAAUAUCCUCAUGCUCAGCUGGCGUCUUCCUUCAGAAAACACUCCUUUCACAUCACUUCAAAAGAGCCACUAAAGAUGGUUGGUCACAGCGCAGAAGGGGUCCUUAGGGUCCGUUGACAAUGGAGAGGCUAGACAGUGUCUCUUCCUCACGUGCAAAGUGACAGGAAAGAACUGGGUCUCAUCUUGCACGCUCCGCCCACACUCCUGUUCCAGAGGGUUCUCUGCUUCUUGUCACCGAGCCCGGAAUUCCCGACUCUGCCUCUCAAGUGCCGGGAUCACAAGCAUGCGUCAUCACGUCCAGCACGUGGAGCACUGGGGACCCCACUCAGCGCUUCCAAAAGACUCAGGAACUGUCUGCAGAUCUUGAGCUCCGGAAUGCCACCCCCUUCAGCCACUGCGGAGUAGUCUUGGCUCCAGUCCCAAGUCCCACCGGGCCAAGCAACUGGGCUCCUUGCCAGCGCUCCUGCCCCAUCCCAUCCUACCUUCUUCCUGCCAGCUGCCAGAGAUAUCAUCAAUAAAUUGUUUGAAAUGUUCAA
Molecule: long non-coding RNA, 675 nt
Organism: Apodemus sylvaticus (European woodmouse)
Lineage: Eukaryota; Metazoa; Chordata; Mammalia; Rodentia; Muridae
Exons: 2
Source: RefSeq, a predicted model, not a curated record